RNAcentral lists this ribosomal RNA (253 nucleotides) under uncultured bacterium. Its description in RNAcentral is "partial 16S ribosomal RNA". It matches the Rfam family "Bacterial small subunit ribosomal RNA", at positions 524 to 776 of the family's 1533-position model. The record is from RNAcentral.
GACGUAGGGCGCGAGCGUUGUCCGGAUUUAUUGGGCGUAAAGAGCUCGUAGGCGGCUUGUCGCGUCGGCUGUGAAAACCCGCGGCUCAACUGUGGGCGGGCAGCUGAUACGGGCAGGCUGGAGUUCGGUAGGGGAGACUGGAAUUCCUGGUGUAGCGGUGAAAUGCGCAGAUAUCAGGAGGAACACCGGUGGCGAAGGCGGGUCUCUGGGCCGAUACUGACGCUGAGGAGCGAAGGCGUGGGGAGCGAACAGG